This is a long non-coding RNA of Contarinia nasturtii (swede midge), 832 nucleotides long. RefSeq lists it as uncharacterized. Lineage: Eukaryota; Metazoa; Arthropoda; Insecta; Diptera; Cecidomyiidae. The record is from RefSeq and is a predicted model, not a curated record. The transcript is spliced from 3 exons.
ACAACAGAACAACAAUUGCUGUUGCAACAGCUAAUUCAUUUUUUUUUGUAUACGUUCAUUUUUUUCAAAAUGUCAAAAGUAAAUAAAAUCGAAAACUAUCCAUCAGUGGAAAAAUUUAUUAUAUGAGAAGAGUGUGAGAAGGGAGUCGAAUAAAACUAUACGAAGAGUGUGAGAAGAGUGUGUACACUCUUCGAAAAGUGUAUUAUACUGACUUGGAUAGUCUACCAGAUAUAAUUGUAGCAACGGCUAAAGGAAAGAAAGGGACGAAAGGAAAUUAAGCUUCGAAUUCGCAAUGGCAAUUUUCAGGAUGUGGCGAGAAUACUUCGGAUUGGGCGUUUAAUGUCAAAGGUUAAUGUUACCUACAAAAAUUGGCCAUUAAAUGUUCAGGGUGAUGUUGCUGCUCCACAGACCGUUGUUUGGCACCGCGAUAUUGUUGCUGCUAAAUGUAUUAUGCUCAAAGAACUUUGUCGGGUGUUUGGCGUACUAGUGCCUGAUUCGUUGAGAAGACCACCAAACAAUGUCAACUGACAAGCAGCAGCAUUGAAUCCAUAAAUUAUCAAAUAAAACAAAUAAUAUAACGAUUAGUUAGCUUAGGUAGGCUUGACACCAUUUGUGUUACACAAAUCUUGUGGCCUUGUUGUGCGUUCAUAAGAACAGUACAACGGUAGUAUGGAGGGAAGGAGUCCGUAGCAGCAGGCCAUGACUUUGUAAAGAGAUCCUUAAAAAGUCCAUGUGAUGUGAACUCCAUCAGUGAAAGAACUUCAAUUUGAAAUUGUUCCUUCAAAGAACAUAAUUCCCUCAUUCAUAAUGACUUGCUCUCAAAAUAUUUUCU